UUAUCCGGAUGUAUUGGGUUUAAAGGGUGCGUAGGCGGCAAGGUAAGUCAGCGGUGAAAGACCAGGGCUCAACUCUGGAAGUGCCGUUGAUACUGUCUGGCUAGAAUGAUUCCGCCGUGGGAGGAAUGAGUAGUGUAGCGGUGAAAUGCAUAGAUAUUACUCAGAACACCGAUUGCGAAGGCAUCUCACGAGGGGUUCAUUGACGCUGAGGCACGAAAGCGUGGGGAUCGAACAGGAUUAGAUACCCUGGUAGUCCACGCAGUAAACGAUGAUGGCUAACUGUCGGGCCUUCGGGUUCGGCGGCCAAGCGAAAGCGAUAAGCCAUCCACCUGGGGAGUACGACCGCAAGGUUGAAACUCAAAGGAAUUGACGGGGGCCCGCACAAGCGGAGGAACAUGUGGUUUAAUUCGAUGAUACGCGAGGAA
This 425-nucleotide ribosomal RNA is filed under the name uncultured bacterium. RNAcentral describes it as "bacterial SSU rRNA". It matches the Rfam family "Bacterial small subunit ribosomal RNA", at positions 541 to 968 of the family's 1533-position model. The record is from RNAcentral.